UACGUAGGGUGCAAGCGUUGUCCGGAAUUAUUGGGCGUAAAGAGCUCGUAGGCGGUCUGUCGCGUCGGCUGUGAAAACCUGGGGCUUAACCCCGGGCCUGCAGCCGAUACGGGCAGACUAGAGUACGGCAGGGGAGACUGGAAUUCCUGGUGUAGCGGUGAAAUGCGCAGAUAUCAGGAGGAACACCGGUGGCGAAGGCGGGUCUCUGGGCCGAAACUGACGCUGAGGAGCGAAAGCGUGGGGAGCAAACAGG
RNAcentral lists this ribosomal RNA (253 nucleotides) under uncultured bacterium. RNAcentral's name for it is "partial 16S ribosomal RNA". It matches the Rfam family "Bacterial small subunit ribosomal RNA", at positions 524 to 776 of the family's 1533-position model. The record is from RNAcentral. RNAcentral also lists the same sequence under 1 other name.